RNAcentral lists this ribosomal RNA (424 nucleotides) under uncultured bacterium. RNAcentral's name for it is "bacterial SSU rRNA". It matches the Rfam family "Bacterial small subunit ribosomal RNA", at positions 28 to 416 of the family's 1533-position model. The record is from RNAcentral.
GAUGAACGCUGGCGGCGUGCCUAACACAUGCAAGUCGAGCGGGAUUUUCCAGAUUGAAGCUUCGGUAGAUUGAAGGAAAUGAGAGCGGCGGACGGGUGAGUAACUCCGUAGGCAACCCUGCCCUUUGCAGAGGGAUAGCCCAUUGGAAAACGAUGAUUAAAAACCCUCAUAAUGCCACGAAGUGACAUCGCUUUGUGGCCAAAAGGAUUUUAUCCGGGCCAAAAGGGAUGGGGCCUGCGUCUGAUUAGCUGGUUGGUGAGGUAACGGCUCACCAAGGCGACGAUCAGUAGCCGACCUGAGAGGGUGAUCGGCCACGAUUGGAACUGAGACACGGGUCCAAAACUCCUACGGGAGGCAGCAGUGGGGAAUAUUGGCACAAUGGGCGAAAGCCUGAUGCAGCAACGCCGCGUGAGCGAAGAAGGCC